AGGCGGAUAAAAAGAAGGGAAGUUAUCUGCUGAGUUGCACUUUCAGUCGUUCGUCAGUAUCCAUGGCUACAGUCUUCAAUUCAUAAACUUUGGAUUUGCACACGUUUGCUGUUUUGCCACUGCCAAAAAGUACUUAAAAAGUAACUUAAUUCACCAAUUUGGAGAACCAUGUAGUCAGUUUUACAUUAUUACUGUAGGUGAAAUGGAAACUGCCCUGUUAGUAAAUACUGCUGGUGGUUGUGGUGACAUUCAGUUGUGGCAAAGGCGUCAGAAGCACCAUGAUAAAGAACAUUGUGCCAUAAAAAACAGGUUGAUCACGUCUAUCCAUCCAUUCAUUUUCAUCCCCUUAUCCGGCCACUUGUAUCUGUGAUCUCACUCUUUCAGUCACUACCCAAAGCUCAUGGGUGUUGGUAGGAACAGAGAUGGACUGGUAAAUCGAGAGCUUUGCCUUCUGGCUCCGUUCACUCUUCACCACAAAGGUACAACACCUGCAUCACUGCUGGCGCCAAACCGCCAUCUCACGCUCCAUUUUACCCUCACUCUUGAAAAAGACCCCGAGAUACUUGAUCACAUUAUUCCCCAUUAUUAAUCUAAUACAAAAUGUUAGGCACUGAAUUCAGUUUAAUUAGUUUAAAUCAGUUUCUGCAUAUGUUCUUUAUCCACCAUUUGUCCUGUAUGAUCACUUUUACACUGUCAGAAGAGGAUCUAUUGUCACACUCUGCCUCUCUGACCAGUUCAUUGCCAUUCUCUUCCUGUCCACCAGAUGCCCUCAGACUUUUUCUCCCGUCCCAGUCACCUCACUCACCCACAUCUAGCCACUCCCUCUUGCCCUGCAAUAACCCCUUUCCCUCCAGUCACAGUCACCUGACCUUCCCCGCCCAUCUGCUCAUCAGCCCCUGUAGAUAUCAGCCAUUUUUUUACUCACUGCUUGCCAGUUUUUUCAAAGUUGCAAUGCUGCUUUCUUGCCUUGUGUUUUUGCUUUUGAGCUUCUGUUACCUGAAACUUAACCUGGACUAGUAUCUGCUUGCCUGAACAUUCUGGAGGAGCGGACGCAUCUGAAGAAGUCCACACUGACAGUCGAAGAGGAGGCUCCAGAGGGAAUAUAGGCCAGGUCCACGAACACGCUGACGUCACCAACAGAGGGAGACUUGGAGCCUGUGACGGGAGAGAGAGGAGAAACUGAUGAUAGACAUUUCAGUAGAACUCAGUGUAUUUGUUUCAGUUGGUGUGGUGAGAACAGUCCUUUGUGAAACAGCAGGUCGCCACUUUCCUCCGCGCUCUGGCCGGCCAAGAUCAACAGCUUAUGGGCCGAUUCCCUGGACAGCAGAGCAAACACCUGGCCAGAACAGAACAGAGAUGAUUCUCAUUUUGAAAAAGAUUAUAAUUUUAAUUAAUUUUGAUCAUUAAAAACUGCUAAAAAUAAAUCACAAUCAGACUGCGUCAUGAUAACACCUGGCUAACUAUAUCUUCCAAGAACUUCCAAGUAUCUGCGAAGGAACCAGGAUUUAUC
Molecule: long non-coding RNA, 1510 nt
Organism: Sebastes umbrosus (honeycomb rockfish)
Lineage: Eukaryota; Metazoa; Chordata; Actinopteri; Perciformes; Sebastidae
Exons: 4
Source: RefSeq, a predicted model, not a curated record